AUGCCCGCUUCAGCAGCACAUAUGUGGAAAUUGGAAUAGUACAGACAAGAUUUGCAUGGCCCCUGUGCAAGGAUGACAUGCAUAUUCACAAGGCAGUCCUAUCUACC
This 107-nucleotide small nuclear RNA is filed under the name Neotoma lepida (desert woodrat). The record is from RNAcentral. Lineage: Eukaryota; Metazoa; Chordata; Mammalia; Rodentia; Cricetidae.